UAUUAGGUUUUCGUGUCUAACAUUUAACCGUUUGUCUUAUUUAAAAAAUUUAUAAAAAAUUUUAAAAAGAUAAGUCAUACAUAAAGUAUUAUUCAUAUUUUAUCAUCUAACAAUAAUGAAAAUACCAAUAAUAAAACAAAUUUAUAUAAGACGGACAAUCAAACCUUGGACACGAAAACCGAAGAAUUCGGUCUUU
Non-coding RNA from Oryza meridionalis, 196 nucleotides. The record is from Rfam. Lineage: Eukaryota; Viridiplantae; Streptophyta; Magnoliopsida; Poales; Poaceae.